GAUGAACGCUGGCGGCGUGCCUAAUACAUGCAAGUCGAGCGAACAGACGAGGAGCUUGCUCCUCUGACGUUAGCGGCGGACGGGUGAGUAACACGUGGAUAACCUACCUAUAAGACUGGGAUAACUUCGGGAAACCGGAGCUAAUACCGGAUAAUAUAUUGAACCGCAUGGUUCAAUAGUGAAAGACGGUUUUGCUGUCACUUAUAGAUGGAUCCGCGCCGCAUUAGCUAGUUGGUAAGGUAACGGCUUACCAAGGCAACGAUGCGUAGCCGACCUGAGAGGGUGAUCGGCCACACUGGAACUGAGACACGGUCAAGACUACUACGGGAGGCAGCAGUAGGGAAUCUGCCGCAAUGGGCGAAAGCUUGACGGAGCAACGCCGAGUGAGUGAUGAAGGUCUUCGGAUCGUAAAACUCUGUUAUUAGGGAGGAACAAAUGUGUAAGUAAAUAUGCACGUAUUGACGGUACCUAAUCAGAAAGCCACGGCUAACUACGUG
RNAcentral lists this ribosomal RNA (497 nucleotides) under uncultured bacterium. RNAcentral's name for it is "partial 16S ribosomal RNA". It matches the Rfam family "Bacterial small subunit ribosomal RNA", at positions 28 to 507 of the family's 1533-position model. The record is from RNAcentral.